Molecule: ribosomal RNA, 460 nt
Filed under: uncultured bacterium
Lineage: Bacteria
Description: partial 16S ribosomal RNA
Rfam family: Bacterial small subunit ribosomal RNA
Source: RNAcentral
CCUACGGGAGGCAGCAGUGAGGAAUAUUGGUCAAUGGACGCAAGUCUGAACCAGCCAAGCCGCGUGCAGGAAGACGGCUCUAUGAGUUGUAAACUUCUUUUGUACGAGAGUAAACGCAGAUACGCGUAUCUGUCUGAAAGUAUCGUACGAAUAAGGAUCGGCUAACUCCGUGCCAGCAGCCGCGGUAAUACGGAGGAUUCAAGCGUUAUCCGGAUUUAUUGGGUUUAAAGGGUGCGUAGGCGGGCGGAUAAGUCAGAGGUGAAAUUCCGAGGCUCAACCUUGGAAUUGCCUUUGAUACUGGUAGGCUAGAGAGUAGUUGAGGUAGGCGGAAUGUGUGGUGUAGCGGUGAAAUGCUUAGAGAUCACACAGAACACCGAUUGCGAAGGCAGCCUACCAAGCUACUUCUGACGUUGAGGCACGAAAGCGUGGGGAGCAAACAGGAUUAGAUACCCUUGUAGUC